Molecule: ribosomal RNA, 443 nt
Filed under: uncultured bacterium
Lineage: Bacteria
Description: partial 16S ribosomal RNA
Rfam family: Bacterial small subunit ribosomal RNA
Source: RNAcentral
CCUACGGGAGGCAGCAGUGGGGAAUAUUGGACAAUGGGGGGAACCCUGAUCCAGCGACGCCGCGUGAGUGAAGAAGUAUCUCGGUAUGUAAAGCUCUAUCAGCAGGGAAGAAAGAAAUGACGGUACCUGACUAAGAAGCCCCGGCUAACUACGUGCCAGCAGCCGCGGUAAUACGUAGGGGGCAAGCGUUAUCCGGAUUUACUGGGUGUAAAGGGAGCGUAGACGGCUGAGCAAGUCUGAAGUGAAAGGCGGGGGCCCAACCCCCGGACUGCUUUGGAAACUGUAUAGCUAGAGUGAAGGAGAGGUAAGUGGAAUUCCUAGUGUAGCGGUGAAAUGCGUAGAUAUUAGGAGGAACACCAGUGGCGAAGGCGGCUUACUGGACUGUAACUGACGUUGAGGCUCGAAAGCGUGGGGAGCAAACAGGAUUAGAUACCCGUGUAGUC